CUCUGUCGCCCAGGCUGGAGUGCAGUUGUGCAGUCUCGGCUCACUGCAAGCUCCGCCUCCCAGGAGAAUUGCUUGAACCCGGGAGGCAGAGGUUGCAGUGAGCCAGGAUCAUGCCACUGCACUCCAGCCUGGGCAACAGGGUGAGACUCUGUCUCAAAAAAAAAAAAUGAACUAGCAGCAACCUUCUAGCCCAUGAAAUCUUCCACUUCUUGGGCAACAAAGAAUAAUUAAGUUAUGAAAACUAAACCAUAAUCACACUCGUAAUGCUUAUGAGUUAAUAAUAGAUUUUUGCACAAGUUGUGUUUGAAAACAUUUAUUCAUUGCACUUAAGUCUUUCUCAAAACACAAAGCUGUCCUUGAAUUUUUAAUAUAGUUCAUUAAAUUGAAAAAAUUCUCAUUUUCUUUCCCAUGUUUUUAUUCUUCAAUCUCUGACUCUUUUCAUCAAUAGAGUAAAAUGGUUUUCAUUAUCCAGUGAGUACAUAUAACAAAAACUUUCAAUAUAUAUAAAGACAGCCAUGUGAUUUCAGCUUUAAUCUCUCUUUUUAUUCUGAACUAAAGUCAGAUACACUUCAAAAUGUUGGUAAAAUGUAUAUAUUUUGGUGUGACAUUGUGACAGUUAAGGUAUACAUUCAGCCUUUUCUCAGGCAUAUUGAAAAUGGUAGUAGUUGAGGUAGUUGAGACACUGAAUGAGGUAGAUGUUCACGAUUUAGAAAAAAAUAUUAUUUUCAAUUUUCAAAUCAUAUCUGAUAUAAAUGAAGGGAAAAGGUAAUACCUUGUCAUUUCAGAUGAAACUAAAAUAUUUUGGCUUUAUCAACAGACAUAAAUUUUGAAGGCUUACCAAUACAAUUGGUAUGCUUUUAUGUAAUUAGAGAACUCCAAAAAGCACUUAGAAAUAGCUCGUAAAUCUACCAUAUGUUGACAGCACUUUAAUGAAUUUCUCUAGACUGUGAAUAAAAAUUUGGACUCCAGUGCUCUUUAUAUUUUAUUCACUUAGAAAAAGUAAGACAGGAUUGCUCAGAUUUAUUGUCAUAUAUCAUAAAAGUAACUACAAAAUAUCUACUCAUUAUAGUUAAAGAUUUACAGUGAACAUUUUAUAGUAUGUUUUCUCUUAAUUAUGUUAAUUGUUCACAAAUGAGAACACUCAAAACCAGUGCUUCUAAGAUUAAACUAAGAUUAGAUCCAGUGGCCUGGCAUCUCUCAGGAGUUUUUCAUAGGGAUCCAACCCAUAGUGAAAUCUCAGGAGGUCCUCUCAAAUAAUGGAGUUUAAUUAUUACUCAUAAAUGGGCAGUUUUCCACACUAACAGAUGUUCUCAAUCUCAUGCAACCCCACUACUUGGUGUUGCAAUUCCCACUACUUUUCCUUAUCCAUUCAAUACUUUCCCCUGUGUCCAGAUAGUUGCUGAAUCAGCAUUUACCCACUUUAUGAAUACUCAGAAUAAAAUACCAACACUUAGACUCCUCUCCCCCAACCUUUUUUUCCUAUCAAAUUAACAAAGACAGAAAAUCAUGUUAAUACCUAGUUUGGUAAGAGUGGGGCAAAAAUUUACUCUCAGGCAUUGCUGUUGGGAAUGUAAUAUGAUAAAAGUGUUCUGGAAAAGAAAAAAAACAAGUGCUGUAUAUAUGAGUAGAUCCUUUUAGCUCCAGUUACUCUUAUCCUGCAUUGGGGAAUCUAUCCAAAGGAAAUAAUCCAAAAAUGUAAUUAUAUUAUGCCAGAAGCAGGUCUUGGAAAUAUUUUAUAUAUUUAGUAAAUAAGAAGAAACAUCUCAAAUAUUCAGCAGUAAGGGAGUGCAGCAGAUCAUGGAAUGCUCACAUAACAGAGUAAUAUGCAGCCAUUAAAAUUUAUGCUUGUUUAUUCAAGGGCAUGGGCAAGUAUGGAUAUGGUAAAUAAUGCAGGAUACUUUCAUGUAUGAUAUGAUUUCAGCUAUGGAAAAUAUAGAGAAAAAUGAUGUGGAGCUAUUUCUAAACUAUAAACCUAAUAUUCCUAAAUAUUUGCUUCCGGUUGGUAUGUGAUCCUUCCCUCUGCCUGUUUUUCUGUACUCAUCUGAAUUUCCAUACUGAACUUGUAAUAUUCUUUUGAUCAGAAAAUAUUAAAGGAAAAUCACAACAGAUUUGGAAAACAAUCAUUAACUAAAUUUCUGCCCCAGUCUUACUCAGGAUUCAGUUUUUCCAACCUCUAAAGAUUUAAAUUUUUUUAACUUUUCAUACUAGAAUUCAGCUUAUAAAGUCUUGAAAGUCACCUUUUUCCCUUUCUGACAUCUGUUUCAUAAAGAAAAUGACUUAGUGGUAACUGG
RNAcentral lists this long non-coding RNA (2291 nucleotides) under Homo sapiens (human). RNAcentral describes it as "HSALNT0112374". The record is from RNAcentral. Lineage: Eukaryota; Metazoa; Chordata; Mammalia; Primates; Hominidae.